GACGGGGGGGGCAAGUGUUCUUCGGAAUUACUGGGCGUAAAGGGCGCGUAGGCGGACAGUUUAGUCAGAGGUGAAAGCCCAGGGCUCAACCUUGGAAUAGCCUUUGAUACUGGCUGUCUUGAGUUCGGGAGAGGUGAGUGGAAUGCCGAGUGUAGAGGUGAAAUUCGUAGAUAUUCGGCGGAACACCAGUGGCGAAGGCGACUCACUGGCCCGAUACUGACGCUGAGGCGCGAAAGCGUGGGGAGCAAACAGG
RNAcentral lists this ribosomal RNA (253 nucleotides) under uncultured bacterium. Its description in RNAcentral is "partial 16S ribosomal RNA". It matches the Rfam family "Bacterial small subunit ribosomal RNA", at positions 524 to 776 of the family's 1533-position model. The record is from RNAcentral.